RNAcentral lists this ribosomal RNA (444 nucleotides) under uncultured bacterium. RNAcentral's name for it is "partial 16S ribosomal RNA". It matches the Rfam family "Bacterial small subunit ribosomal RNA", at positions 338 to 795 of the family's 1533-position model. The record is from RNAcentral.
CCUACGGGUGGCUGCAGUGAGGAAUAUUGGUCAAUGGGCGCGAGCCUGAACCAGCCAAGUAGCGUGAAGGAUGACUGCCCUACGGGUUGUAAAGUUCUUUUCUAAGGGAAGAAGAAAGUGACGGUACCUUAGGAAUAAGCCUCGGCUAACUACGUGCCAGCAGCCGCGGUAAUACGUAGGAGGCAAGCGUUAUCCGGAAUGACUGGGCGUAAAGGGUGCGUAGGUGGUUUGACAAGUUAGUAGCGCAACUCCGGAGCUCAACUUCGGAACUACUACUAAAACUGUUGGACUUGAGUGCAGGAGGGGCAAUCGGAAUUCCUAGUGUAGCGGUGGAAUGCGUAGAUAUUAGGAGGAACACCAGUGGCGAAGGCGGAUUGCUAGACUGUAACUGACACUGAGGCACGAAAGCGUGGGGAGCAAACAGGAUUAGAUACCCCUGUAGUC